CGAGCCUAGUUAGUGUUGGAGUUGGGUUGGUUGAUCGCCUAAAAAAUGAUUCAAUCGGGCGGCUUCGUUGUCUGUAAUGUAGUCUGAUGAAGCGUUCUCAGCGGCAGACCAGGCCUAUGUCCCCUGGAAGGGGGCGCCAGAGAGGGUGACAGCCCCAUUGUGCUUGGAUCUUGUCGCUCCACGAGGCGUUGUCUACAAGUCGGGUUGUUUGGGAAUGCUGCCCAAAUCGGGCGAUGAAUUUUGUCCAAGGCUAAAUACGGGCGAGAGACCGAUAGCGAACAAGUACCGUGAGGGAAAGAUAAAAAAGGACUUUGAAAAGGGAGUCAAUGAGUGCUUGAAAUUGUCGGGAGGGAAGCAGAUGGGGGCCGAUGAUGUGCCCCGAUCGGAUGUGGAACGGUGAUGAGCUGGUCUUCCGAUCGACUCGGGGCGUGGACCAACAUGGAUUGGGGGGGCGACCAAACCCCAGGCUCUCGAUACGCUCGUGGAAUGCCAUCUCCUUGAUUAUGGUAGGCAGUGCACGCCUCUGGCGUGCUUCGGUAUCUGCGCGCUCUGGAAGCUAUCUUGUGGGCUCCCCGUUCGACCUGUCUUGAAACACGGACCAAGAAGUCUGACAUAUAUGUGAGUCAACGGGCGAGUAAACCCAUAAGUCGUAAGGAAGUUUAUUGGUGGGAUCCCCCUGAAGUGUGCACCACCGACCGACCUUGAUCUUCUAAGAAGGGUUCGAGUUUGAGCAUACCUGUCGGGACUCGAUAGAUAGUGAACUAUGCCUGAGCGAGGCGAAGCCAAAUAAACUCUGGUGGAGGCCCGCAGUGAUACUGACGUGUAAAUAAUUCAUCUGACUUGGGUAUAAGGGCGAAAGACUAAUCGAACCAUCUAAUAGCUGGUUCCCUCCGAAGUUUCCCUCAGCACAGCUGGAGCUCACGCGGGAGUUCUAUCGGGUAAAGCCAAUGAUUAGAGGCCUCGGGGGUGCAAUUCCCUCGACCUAUUCUCAAACUUUAAAUAGGUAGGACGACACAACUUCUGUGUUGAGCCGCGCCACGAAAUCUAGAGCUCCACGUGGGCCAUUUUUGGUAAGCAGAACUAGCGAUGCGGGAUGAACCGGAAGCCGGGUUACGGUGCCAAACUGCGCGCUAACCUAGAUCCCACAAAGGGUGUUGGUAGAUUAAGACAGCAGGACAGUGGUCAUGGAAAUCGAAAUCCACUAAGGAGUGUGUAACAACUCACCUGCCGAAUCAGCUAGCCCCGAAAAUGGAUGGCGCUUAAGCGCGUGACCUACACCCGAUUGUCGGGGAAAGCGCCAAGCCCCGAUGAGUAGUAGGGCGCGGUGGUCGCUGCAAAACCUUAGGCGUGAGCCUGGGCAGAGCGGCCGUUGGUGCAGAUCUAUGUGGUAGUAGCAACUAUUCAAAUGUGAACUUUGAAGGCCGAAUAGGGGAAAGGUUCCAUGUGAACGGAACUUGCACAUGGGUUAGUCGAUCCGAAAGGUCGAGGGAACCCCGACAGAUAGCGCGUUUCGCGUGUACUCUGAAAGGGAAUCGGGUUAAAAUUCAUGAACUGGGACGUGGCGGUUGACGACAAUGUUAGGAAGUCCAGAGACGUCAGUGGGAGCCUUGCGAAGAGUUAUCUUUUCUGUUUAACAGCUUGCCCACCCUGGAAUCGGCUCAGCCAGAGGUACGGUUCGAUUCAGCCCUUUGUCGCUCCGAUUCGUCCCCCCUCUCCCCCACCUUCCCCCUCCCCCAACCUCAAAUCUAAUCAUUUCUGACUUUUCAAACAGGAGGUUUACGUAUUGCUUGCAUCCUUAGAAGGACAAAAAGCACUAAGUGUUGAAAAAAAAGUGCCGAUAAUAACUUUCUACGU
Non-coding RNA from Solanum tuberosum (potato), 1854 nucleotides. The record is from Rfam. NCBI's taxonomy places the organism in Eukaryota, Viridiplantae, Streptophyta, Magnoliopsida, Solanales, Solanaceae.